This 74-nucleotide transfer RNA is filed under the name Camelus bactrianus (Bactrian camel). It matches the Rfam family "tRNA". Rfam says of the family: Transfer RNA (tRNA) molecules are approximately 80 nucleotides in length. Their secondary structure includes four short double-helical elements and three loops (D, anti-codon, and T loops). RNAcentral also lists the same sequence under 1 other name. The record is from Rfam by way of RNAcentral. Lineage: Eukaryota; Metazoa; Chordata; Mammalia; Artiodactyla; Camelidae.
GGGGAUAGCUCAGUGGUAGAGUGCAUGCUUAGUUAGUAUGUACAGGGUCCUGGGUUCAAUCCCCAGUACCUCCA